AUACGUAGGGGGCGAGCGUUGUCCGGAUUUAUUGGGCGUAAAGGGUGCGUAGGCGGCCCUGUAAGUCAGAUGUGAAAGAUCAUGGCUUAACUGUGGUAAGCAUUUGAAACUGCAGGGCUUGAGUACAGGAGAGGGGAGUGGAAUUCCUAGUGUAGCGGUGAAAUGCGUAGAUAUUAGGAGGAAUACCAGUGGCGAAGGCGACUCUCUGGACUGAUACUGACGCUGAGGCACGAAAGCGUGGGGAGCAAACAGGAUUAGAUACCCUGGUAGUCCACGCUAUAAACGAUGAGUGCUAGGUGUCGGGGGUCAAACCUCGGUGCCGCAGUUAACACAUUAAGCACUCCGCCUGGGGAGUACGGCCGCAAGGCUGAAACUCAAAUGAAUUGACGGGG
This 392-nucleotide ribosomal RNA is filed under the name uncultured bacterium. RNAcentral's name for it is "partial 16S ribosomal RNA". It matches the Rfam family "Bacterial small subunit ribosomal RNA", at positions 523 to 918 of the family's 1533-position model. The record is from RNAcentral.